GGUGGCUCAGUGUUAGAGUGCUUGCAUGGCAUGCAUGAAGCCCUGAGUUCAAUUCCUCAGCACCA
Molecule: transfer RNA, 65 nt
Filed under: Dipodomys ordii (Ord's kangaroo rat)
Lineage: Eukaryota; Metazoa; Chordata; Mammalia; Rodentia; Heteromyidae
Rfam family: tRNA
About the family: Transfer RNA (tRNA) molecules are approximately 80 nucleotides in length. Their secondary structure includes four short double-helical elements and three loops (D, anti-codon, and T loops). Further hydrogen bonds mediate the characteristic L-shaped molecular structure. tRNAs have two regions of fundamental functional importance: the anti-codon, which is responsible for specific mRNA codon recognition, and the 3' end, to which the tRNAs corresponding amino acid is attached (by aminoacyl-tRNA synthetases). tRNAs cope with the degeneracy of the genetic code in two manners: having more than one tRNA (with a specific anti-codon) for a particular amino acid; and 'wobble' base-pairing, i.e. permitting non-standard base-pairing at the 3rd anti-codon position.
Source: Rfam by way of RNAcentral